AUUAAACGCUGGCGGCAUGCCUUACACAUGCAAGUCGAACGGCAGCACGGGGGCAACCCUGGUGGCGAGUGGCGGACGGGUGAGUAACACAUCGGAACGUGCCCUGGAGUGGGAGAUAACGCAGCGAAAGCUACGCUAAUACCGCAUAUUCUGUGAGCAGGAAAGCAGGGGAUCGCAAGACCUUGCGCUUUGGGAGCGGCCGAUGUCGGAUUAGCUAGUUGGUGGGGUAAAGGCUUACCAAGGCGACGAUCCGUAGCGGGUCUGAGAGGAUGAUCCGCCACACUGGGACUGAGACACGGCCCAGACUCCUACGGGAGGCAGCAGUGGGGAAUUUUGGACAAUGGGCGGAAGCCUGAUCCAGCCAUGCCGCGUGAGUGAAGAAGGCCUCGGUUGUAAGACGUCUUCGUGGGUAGGAAGUAG
This 420-nucleotide ribosomal RNA is filed under the name uncultured bacterium. Its description in RNAcentral is "bacterial SSU rRNA". It matches the Rfam family "Bacterial small subunit ribosomal RNA", at positions 29 to 453 of the family's 1533-position model. The record is from RNAcentral.